Molecule: ribosomal RNA, 253 nt
Filed under: uncultured bacterium
Lineage: Bacteria
Description: partial 16S ribosomal RNA
Rfam family: Bacterial small subunit ribosomal RNA
Source: RNAcentral
UACAGAGACGUCGAGCGUUGUUCGGAUUCAUUGGGCGUAAAGGGUGCGUAGGCGGUGAGGUAAGUCGGAUGUGAAAUCCCAAGGCUUAACCUUGGAAGUGCAUCCGAAACUACCUCGCUUGAGGACUGGAAGGGAGACUGGAAUUCUCGGUGUAGCGGUGAAAUGCGUAGAUAUCGAGAGGAACACCUGUGGCGAAGGCGGGUCUCUGGACAGUUCCUGACGCUGAGGCACGAAAGCCAGGGGAGCAAACGGG